UUAGAAUAAAACUUAAACGUAUUUUGAGCUUGUGAUAACCACGGACCUUAUUUUAGGGGAUUUAAUCAAACUCCCAUUCAAAAAAUUCCAUUGACUCUGGGACGAUGGAACCGGAAGUGUUAAAAUGCUAACUCGUUUUCGGGUUUUUUACCUACAAUGUA
This is a long non-coding RNA of Sinocyclocheilus anshuiensis, 161 nucleotides long. RefSeq lists it as uncharacterized. NCBI's taxonomy places the organism in Eukaryota, Metazoa, Chordata, Actinopteri, Cypriniformes, Cyprinidae. The record is from RefSeq and is a predicted model, not a curated record. The transcript is spliced from 3 exons.